GGGAUGGGGAGGCCUAUAAUGCAGUCGAGCGGACAGAUGAGAGCUUGCUUCUCGUGUGUGUUCGCGCGCGGACGGGUGAGUCACACUGUGGGUCACCUACUGAUGACACUGGGAUCUUCCGGGAAACCGGGGCUAAUACCGGAUAAUAUUUUGAACCGCGGGUUCAAUAAUGAAAGACGGUUUCCGCUGUCUUUUAUAUAUGGACCCGCGCCGUAUUAUCUAUUUGGUGAUGUAGCGGCUUACCAGGGCCACUAUACAUACCCCACCUGAGAGGGUGAUCGGCCACUCUGGAACUGACACACGGCCCACACUCCUACGGGAGGCAACAAUGGGGAAUCUUCCGCAGUGGGAGAAAGUCUGACAGAGCAACCCCGCGUGAGUGAUGAGUGUUUUCAGAUCGUAAAACUCUGUUGUUAGGGAAGAACAUAUUUGUUAAUAACUGAGCGACUCUUGACGGUACCUAACCAAAAAGCCACGGUUAAUUACGUGCCAACACCCCGGGUAAUACUUAGGGGGCAAGCGUUUUCCGAAAUUAUUGGGCGUAAAGCGCGCCAAGGCGGUUUCUUAAUUCUGAUGUGAAACCCCCCGGUUCAACCGUGAAGGGUCAUUGGAAAUUGGGAAAUUUGAGUGCAAAAAAAAGAAAGUGAAAUUCCAUGUGUACCGGUAAAAUGCUCAGAUAUAUGGAGAAAACACCAGUGGCAAGGGCAGUCUCUCUGGCUCUGUAACUGACUCUGAUGUGCAAAACGCGUGGGAGAUCAAACAGGAUUAGAUCCCGGGAUAUCCCACCCCGUAAACGAUGAGUGCUAAGUGUUAGGGGGUUUCCCCCCUUUAGUGCUGCACUAACGCUUUAAACAUCUCCCCUGGGAAUACGACCCCAAGUUGAACUCAAGAAUUGACGGGGACUCGCCACAGCGGUGAACAUGGUGUUAAUUCAAAGCACGCGAAGACCUUAACAAAGUCUGACAUCCUUUGAACAUCUCUAGAGAUAGAGCUGUCUCUCUUCGGGACAAAUGUGACAGGUGGUCGAGUAUCGUCGUCACUCUCGGUCCGGAAGAUGUGGUUUAGCUCCCGGACACAGGCAACCUGUAACGUAUGGCCACUAUAUGCACUCAGUAGCUGCGUUUCACCACGCUGACGAGUGA
RNAcentral lists this ribosomal RNA (1142 nucleotides) under Mammaliicoccus sciuri. Its description in RNAcentral is "bacterial SSU rRNA". It matches the Rfam family "Bacterial small subunit ribosomal RNA", at positions 35 to 1167 of the family's 1533-position model. The record is from RNAcentral. Lineage: Bacteria; Bacillati; Bacillota; Bacilli; Caryophanales; Staphylococcaceae.